This 731-nucleotide ribosomal RNA is filed under the name uncultured bacterium. RNAcentral's name for it is "bacterial SSU rRNA". It matches the Rfam family "Bacterial small subunit ribosomal RNA", at positions 60 to 808 of the family's 1533-position model. The record is from RNAcentral.
AGCGGAGGUAUAUGGAGCUUGCUUUAUAUAACUUAGCAGCGAACGGGUGAGUAACACGUAGAUAAUCUAUCCUAUACUGGGGGAUAGCCCGAUGAAAGUUGGAUUAAUACCGCAUAUAGCUAUAUAGUUGCAUGAUUAUGUAGUGAAAGAUUUAUUGGUAUAGGAGGAGUCUGCGGCACAUUAGCUAGUAGGUGAGGUAAAGGCUUACCUAGGCGACGAUGUGUAGCCGGUCUGAGAGGAUGAACGGCCACAAUGGAACUGAGACACGGUCCAUACUCCUACGGGAGGCAGCAGUGGGGGAUAUUGCACAAUGGAGGAAACCCUGAUGCAGCAACGCCGCGUGAGUGAAGAAGGUUUUCGGAUUGUAAAGCUCUGUUAGCAGGGAAGAGGAAGGACGGUACCUGCAGAGGAAGCCACGGCUAACUACGUGCCAGCAGCCGCGGUAAUACGUAGGUGGCAAGCGUUGUUCGGAAUAACUGGGCGUAAAGGAUGCGUAGGCGGUUAAACAAGUUAUAUGUUAAAUAUAUAGGCUUAACCUGUAGAAGGCAUAUAAAACUGUUUAACUAGAGUGCAGGAGAGGUAAGUGGAAUUCCUAGUGUAGCGGUGAAAUGCGUAGAGAUUAGGAAGAACACCAGUGGCGAAGGCGACUUACUGGACUGUAACUGACGCUGAGGCAUGAGAGCAUGGGGAGCAAACAGGAUUAGAUACCCUGGUAGUCCAUGCUGUAAACG